Molecule: long non-coding RNA, 1075 nt
Filed under: Homo sapiens (human)
Lineage: Eukaryota; Metazoa; Chordata; Mammalia; Primates; Hominidae
Description: long non-coding RNA NONHSAT117555.2
Source: RNAcentral
GAAGAAGUAGCAUCUCACUCACUGUUCCUGGGAAGAUGGAAAAGUGAUGAUCCCUUAAAUCCUGCAAUUGAAAACAUUUGUGACCCUGAGGGCAGGUAUGAGAGGCACUAAGAAAAUCCUUUGUUGGUGAGACAGAGAACAUUUUCACCCCAGGAAAAAGAGAUCAUAGAGAAGUCAUGAAAACUGUACUGAACAAAAUACUUAUGGGAAAGAGGGGUUGUAAAAGUGAUGAAUGUAGACAGUUCUUCACUAAGAAAUCAAAUCUUAUUCAACAGCAAAGGAUCCACACUGAAGAGAGACCCUGUAAAUACAAAGUUUGUGGCAAGCCUUCAGUGGGAACACUAGCCUCUAUCUCCAGAAGAUCCACACUGGGGAGAACCCUUAUAAGUGUGAUGAGCAUAGAAGGGCCUUCACCGUGAAAGCCUGCAUUAUAGAAGCUGUAUUUUCACAGACACUAUGAAUGUGAUCAGUGUGGCAAGACUUUCAUUUGGAGCUCAGAUCUUAGUAAACAUCAGAGGCUUCAUACUGGAGGGAAAUCCACAAGCGUAAUGUAUGCAAUAAGACCUUCAGAAUUCUGACCAUCUCAAACAUCAGAGAAUACAUACUGGAGAGAAACCCUACAAAUAUCUUAUGCAUGGGAAAGCUUUUAAUCAGAGCCCACUCUUUCUUAAGCAUCAUAGAGUACACACUGAGAGAAACCUUAUCACUUUAAGGAAUGUGGAGAAAGCUUUAGUCACAAUGGAGGCCUGACAUCGUAUGAGAGACUGCACACAAGAGAGAAGUCUUAUAAAAGUAAAGUAUUUGGGGAAGUCUGCAUUGAGAGCUCACACUUCAUUAACUAUCCCAACAUUCAUACAGGGGAAAGACUUCCUCAUUGCCCUGAAUAUGGAAAAUGCUUUACUCAAAAUGAAGGUCUUAUUUCCCAUCAGAACCUUUUUAGACAUUAAAAAGAAAACCCAUAUCAGAGAAAAAAGAUAUAUACCUCUGAUGAAUGUGUGUAAAACUUUGUGUUUCUCUAGUAAUUGACCUUUAGAGAGUAGAUAUAGAAGGGAAAUAUUUUGAAUAUAACAAUUUU